This 429-nucleotide ribosomal RNA is filed under the name Chloroflexota bacterium. RNAcentral describes it as "Chloroflexi bacterium partial 16S ribosomal RNA". It matches the Rfam family "Bacterial small subunit ribosomal RNA", at positions 355 to 776 of the family's 1533-position model. Lineage: Bacteria; Bacillati; Chloroflexota. The record is from RNAcentral.
UGGGGAAUAUUGCACAAUGGGCGAAAGCCUGAUGCAGCCAUGCCGCGUGUAUGAAGAAGGCCUUCGGGGUGUAAAGUACUUUCAGCGGGGAGGAAGGGAGUAAAGUUAAUACCUUUGCUCAUUGACGUUACCCGCAGAAGAAGCACCGGCUAACUCCGUGCCAGCAGCCGCGGUAAUACGAAGGGUGCAAGCGUUAAUCGGAAUUACUGUGCGUAAAGCGCACGCAGGCGGUUUGUUAAGUCAGAUGUGAAAUCCCCGGGCUCAACCUGGGAACUGCAUCUGAUACUGGCAAGCUUGAGUCUCGUAGAGGGGGGUAGAAUUCCAGGUGUAGCGGUGAAAUGCGUAGAGAUCUGGGGGAAUACCGGUGGCGAAGGCGGCCCCCUGGACGAAGACUGACGCUCAGGUGCGAAAGCGUGGGGAGCAAACAGG